AAGCACGACUCUGACGAUGAACGUCUGUAUUUUGAAGAGCGACUUGAUCCAGCUGAAGAUACAGUUUCUGAUGAAAAUGUGGAUCCAUCACUCUCGCAUUCACCUGCAAUUCUCACUAAGAGGGCACGCAGCAACACAGGCGAUAAUGAGAAAGAGAAUGUGGAUCCAUCACUCUCACAUUCACCUGCAAUUCCCACUAGGAGGGCACCCAGCAACACAGGCGGAAAUGAGAAAGAGUAAGUACAUGUUCACCCACUAUAUGGUAGGCCUAUGUACACUACCGUUCAAUAGUUUGAAAUCGGUAUGAUUUUUC
Molecule: long non-coding RNA, 313 nt
Organism: Megalobrama amblycephala (Wuchang bream)
Lineage: Eukaryota; Metazoa; Chordata; Actinopteri; Cypriniformes; Xenocyprididae
Exons: 3
Source: RefSeq, a predicted model, not a curated record